CGGACGGGUGAGUAAUGUAUGGGGAUCUGCCUGAUGGCGGGGGAUAACUACUGGAAACGGUAGCUAAUACCGCAUAAUGUCUGCGGACCAAAGCGGGGGACCUCCGGGCCUCGCGCCAUCAGAUGAACCCAUAUGGGAUUAGCUUGUAGGUGGGGUAACGGUUCACCUAGGCGACGAUCCCUAGCUGGUCUGAGAGGAUGACCAGCCACACUGGAACUGAGACACGGUCCAG
Molecule: ribosomal RNA, 232 nt
Filed under: uncultured bacterium
Lineage: Bacteria
Description: partial 16S ribosomal RNA
Rfam family: Bacterial small subunit ribosomal RNA
Source: RNAcentral